UACAGAGGGUGCAAGCGUUAAUCGGAAUUACUAGGCGUAAAGCGCGCGUAGGUGGUUCGUUAAGUUGGAUGUGAAAUCCCCGGGCUCAACCUGGGAACUGCAUUCAAAACUGUCGAGCUAGAGUAUGGUAGAGGGUGGUGGAAUUUCCUGUGUAGCGGUGAAAUGCGUAGAUAUAGGAAGGAACACCAGUGGCGAAGGCGACCACCUGGACUGAUACUGACACUGAGGUGCGAAAGCGUGGGGAGCAAACAGG
Molecule: ribosomal RNA, 253 nt
Filed under: uncultured bacterium
Lineage: Bacteria
Description: partial 16S ribosomal RNA
Rfam family: Bacterial small subunit ribosomal RNA
Source: RNAcentral